GACGAACGCUGGCGGCGUGCUUAACACAUGCAAGUCGAACGAAGAGCGAUGGAAGCUUGCUUCUAUCAAUCUUAGUGGCGAACGGGUGAGUAACGCGUAAUCAACCUGCCCUUCAGAGGGGGACAACAGUUGGAAACGACUGCUAAUACCGCAUACGAUCUAACCUCGGCAUCGAGGAUAGAUGAAAGGUGGCCUCUACAUGUAAGCUAUCACUGAAGGAGGGGAUUGCGUCUGAUUAGCUAGUUGGAGGGGUAACGGCCCACCAAGGCGAUGAUCAGUAGCCGGUCUGAGAGGAUGAACGGCCACAUUGGGACUGAGACACGGCCCAGACUCCUACGGGAGGCAGCAGUGGGGAAUCUUCCGCAAGGGACGAAAGUCUGACGGAGAAACGCCGCGUGAGUGAUGACGGCCUUCGGGUUGUAAAGCUCUGUUAAUCGGGACGAAAGGCCUUCUUGCGAAUAGUUAGAAGGAUUGACGGUACCGGAAUAGAAAGCCACGGCUAACUACGUG
RNAcentral lists this ribosomal RNA (510 nucleotides) under uncultured bacterium. RNAcentral describes it as "partial 16S ribosomal RNA". It matches the Rfam family "Bacterial small subunit ribosomal RNA", at positions 28 to 507 of the family's 1533-position model. The record is from RNAcentral.